GUUUUGGCACAAUGUACGCCUUUGGACACUCCCCAGCUUCCUCGUCUGGUACACCAAUAACAGCAGCAUCAGCAAUGGCCUCGUGUGUCACCAGAAGACCCUCAAGUUCAGCAGGAGCAACCUGGAAUAAAGGAAACAAAAGAAUAAACGGGCUGGGCCGACCAUCAGGCCCCACCUGGAAGAAGCCUUGGGCCGACCAUCAGGCCCCACCAGGAAGAUGCCUACCGGCGCAACAGGCAAAACGACGUAAAAAUGCUAUAGGCAUACACAUAAAAAAAUUAAAAAAAUAAAAAGUUAGAAAACAUA
Molecule: long non-coding RNA, 306 nt
Organism: Eriocheir sinensis (Chinese mitten crab)
Lineage: Eukaryota; Metazoa; Arthropoda; Malacostraca; Decapoda; Varunidae
Exons: 2
Source: RefSeq, a predicted model, not a curated record